This 374-nucleotide ribosomal RNA is filed under the name uncultured organism. RNAcentral describes it as "bacterial SSU rRNA". It matches the Rfam family "Bacterial small subunit ribosomal RNA", at positions 526 to 896 of the family's 1533-position model. The record is from RNAcentral.
CGUAGGGGGCGAGCGUUGUCCGGAUUUAUUGGGCGUAAAGAGCUCGUAGGCGGUUCGAUAAGUCGGGUGUGAAAACUCUGGGCUCAACUCAGAGACGCCACCCGAUACUGUUGUGACUUGAGUCCGGUAGGGGAGUAUGGAAUUCCCGGUGUAGCGGUGAAAUGCGCAGAUAUCGGGAGGAACACCAGUGGCGAAGGCGGUACUCUGGGCCGGAACUGACGCUGAGGAGCGAAAGCGUGGGUAGCGAACAGGAUUAGAUACCCUGGUAGUCCACGCCGUAAACGUUGGGCACUAGGUGUGGGUCUCAACCAACGGGAUCCGUGCCGCAGCUAACGCAUUAAGUGCCCCGCCUGGGGAGUACGGCCGCAAGGCUA